GUGCUCACUUAGGCAGCACAUAUGCUAAAAUUGGAACGAUACAGAGAAGAUUAGCAUGGCCCCUGCACAAAGAUGACACUUUAAAAUGUAAAAAAGAAAAAAAGAAA
RNAcentral lists this small nuclear RNA (107 nucleotides) under Microcebus murinus (gray mouse lemur). The record is from RNAcentral. Lineage: Eukaryota; Metazoa; Chordata; Mammalia; Primates; Cheirogaleidae.